UUUUAACAGUUUGGAUUUUUCUUUGGGCUUCCUUAGCUUGGGUGCUAAUGGGCCAACACUGCUAAUAAAUUCAUUUGGUUUGGGCUCCACCUCCCUAACAGUUUGGUGUGGUGUGGUGAGGGAUAGUCAUUAUUGGACUUCUAAUGGAUCCUAACCGUGGGUUCCAACCGUUAAACAAUCCGCCGGCCUCAGGUCUCACUGACUCGGUCCAGAGAUCCGGCCGCCACCCUCGCCUCCCUCCCGAGAUCCCGCCGCCGCCGCCGCCACCUCCGCCUCGCCUCCCUCCCGAGAUCCCGCCGCCGCCGCCGCCACCUCCGCCUCGCCUCCCUCCCUCCCCAUCCCGAGAUCCCGCUCCCUCCGGCAACAAGGAAGCUGACGUCUCGAGCUCCAGUCAGUCCGCCCCCUGGCCCAUCAGAUCCAAUUCCUUCCCCGACCCCCAUCCCGGAUCCGCCGCAAUUCCUUAGCGUCUCGAGCUCGAUUGCUCCCUGUCCGUGG
RNAcentral lists this long non-coding RNA (495 nucleotides) under Setaria italica (foxtail millet). Its description in RNAcentral is "long non-coding RNA (SITA_LNC005567)". Lineage: Eukaryota; Viridiplantae; Streptophyta; Magnoliopsida; Poales; Poaceae. The record is from RNAcentral.